UGGGGAAUAUUGGACAAUGGGGGAACCCUGAUCCAGCCAUGCCGCGUGUGUGAAGAAGGCCUUUUGGUUGUAAAGCACUUUAAGCGAGGAGGAGGCGCUCUAGGAUAAUACCCUAGAUGCGUGGACGUUACUCGCAGAAUAAGCACCGGCUAACUCUGUGCCAGCAGCCGCGGUAAUACAGAGGGUGCGAGCGUUAAUCGGAUUUACUGGGCGUAAAGCGCGCGUAGGUGGCUAAUUAAGUCAAAUGUGAAAUCCCCGAGCUUAACUUGGGAAUUGCAUUCGAUACUGGUUAGCUAGAGUAUGGGAGAGGAUGGUAGAAUUCCAGGUGUAGCGGUGAAAUGCGUAGAGAUCUGGAGGAAUACCGAUGGCGAAGGCAGCCAUCUGGCCUAAUACUGACACUGAGGUGCGAAAGCAUGGGAAGCAAACAGGAUUAGAUACCCUGGUAGUCCAUGCCGUAAACGAUGUCUACUAGCCGUUGGGGCCUUUGAGGC
RNAcentral lists this ribosomal RNA (491 nucleotides) under uncultured bacterium. Its description in RNAcentral is "partial 16S ribosomal RNA". It matches the Rfam family "Bacterial small subunit ribosomal RNA", at positions 355 to 838 of the family's 1533-position model. The record is from RNAcentral.